RNAcentral lists this transfer RNA (73 nucleotides) under Biomphalaria glabrata. It matches the Rfam family "tRNA". Rfam says of the family: Transfer RNA (tRNA) molecules are approximately 80 nucleotides in length. Their secondary structure includes four short double-helical elements and three loops (D, anti-codon, and T loops). The record is from Rfam by way of RNAcentral. Lineage: Eukaryota; Metazoa; Mollusca; Gastropoda; Planorbidae.
GUAAAUGUGGCUGAGUGGUAAAGCGAUUGGCUUCCGAUCCGAGGGGUCCCGGGUUCGAAUCCUGGUGAAGACU